RNAcentral lists this ribosomal RNA (252 nucleotides) under uncultured bacterium. Its description in RNAcentral is "partial 16S ribosomal RNA". It matches the Rfam family "Bacterial small subunit ribosomal RNA", at positions 524 to 776 of the family's 1533-position model. The record is from RNAcentral.
UACGGAGGAUGCGAGCGUUAUCCGGAUUUAUUGGGUUUAAAGGGUGCGUAGGCGGAUUUUUAAGUCAGCGGUAAAAUGUCCGGGCUCAACCCGGGCCGGCCGUUGAAACUGGGGAUCUUGAGUGGGCGAGAAGUAUGCGGAAUGCGUGGUGUAGCGGUGAAAUGCAUAGAUAUCACGCAGAACUCCGAUUGCGAAGGCAGCAUACCGGCGCCCGACUGACGCUGAGGCACGAAAGCGUGGGUAUCGAACAGG